GGACUACUGACGCAAGGGUGAUACUCUAAGGCAUUGAAGGGGGCCCGCACAAGCGGUAGAGCCUGUAGUUUCAUAUGAAGCAACGCGAAGAAGCAUUCCAAAUCCUGACAUCCUGUAACAACUCGAGAGAUAGAGAUUAGGCCUUCGCGGGACAAAGUGACAGAUGGUGCAUGGUGGUCGUCAGCUCGUGUCGUGAGAUGUGGGGUUAAGUCCCGCAUCGAGCGCAACCCUUAAGCUUAGUUGCCAUCAUUCAGUGGGGCACUUUAAGUUGACCGCCGGUGACAAUGCGUAUGAAGGUGGGGACGGCGUCAAAGCGUCAGAUCCCUCACGCUGUUGGCCUCUGACUUGCUGCAAUGGUCAGUACAAAGCGCAGCGAAUCCGUGAGGUCAAGCAGAUCCAAUAAUGUGGUUCAGCGAUAGGAUCGUAGUCUGCAGCUCCAUGCGCAUGAAAAAUAGAAUCGCUAGUAAUGCGU
RNAcentral lists this ribosomal RNA (472 nucleotides) under Staphylococcus aureus. RNAcentral describes it as "bacterial SSU rRNA". It matches the Rfam family "Bacterial small subunit ribosomal RNA", at positions 877 to 1346 of the family's 1533-position model. Lineage: Bacteria; Bacillati; Bacillota; Bacilli; Caryophanales; Staphylococcaceae. The record is from RNAcentral.